CGUACGGGAGGCAGCAGUGGGGAAUAUUGCACAAUGGGCGAAAGCCUGAUGCAGCGACGCCGCGUGAGGGAUGAAGGCCUUCGGGUUGUAAACCUCUUUCAGCAGGGAAGAAGCGCAAGUGACGGUACCUGCAGAAGAAGCCCCGGCUAACUACGUGCCAGCAGCCGCGGUAAU
RNAcentral lists this ribosomal RNA (174 nucleotides) under uncultured bacterium. RNAcentral's name for it is "partial 16S ribosomal RNA". It matches the Rfam family "Bacterial small subunit ribosomal RNA", at positions 338 to 524 of the family's 1533-position model. The record is from RNAcentral.